RNAcentral lists this ribosomal RNA (279 nucleotides) under uncultured bacterium. RNAcentral's name for it is "partial 16S ribosomal RNA". It matches the Rfam family "Bacterial small subunit ribosomal RNA", at positions 506 to 784 of the family's 1533-position model. The record is from RNAcentral.
UGCCAGCCGCCGCGGUAAUACAGAGGGUGCGAGCGUUAAUCGGAAUUACUGGGCGUAAAGGGCGCGUAGGCGGCUUGAUAAGUCGGAUGUGAAAGCCCCGGGCUUAACCUGGGAAUGCCAUUCGAUACUGUCAGGCUAGAGUAUGGUAGAGGGAAGCGGAAUUCAGGGUGUAGCGGUGAAAUGCGUAGAUAUCCUGAGGAACACCAGUGGCGAAGGCGGCUUCCUGGACCAAUACUGACGCUGAGGCGCGAAAGCGUGGGGAGCAAACAGGAUUAGAUA